This 81-nucleotide transfer RNA is filed under the name Oscillospiraceae bacterium. RNAcentral's name for it is "tRNA-Leu". It matches the Rfam family "tRNA". Rfam says of the family: Transfer RNA (tRNA) molecules are approximately 80 nucleotides in length. Lineage: Bacteria; Bacillati; Bacillota; Clostridia; Eubacteriales; Oscillospiraceae. The record is from RNAcentral.
GCGGGUGUGGUGAAACUGGCAGACAUGCCGGAUUUAGGUUCUGGUGUUGUGAGGUUGCAGGUUCAAGUCCUGUCCCCCGCA